AAAAUUCUUGCUCUGGUAGUCUGACCCUUGUUGAGAAGAACAAACAGCCAGACAAGCACGCGGGGCCUGCUGGACAUGCCAGCCCAGCAGAUGUGGACAUGAUAAGUGUGCACUGCUUCAUUCAUGUCAUGUCAUGACUGUACAUCUGUGACCAUGGGUCAUCUACAGAGGAACAGACGGUUGGUACUUGUAUUGUCCGCUCAAUAAGAGGGAUUAAAUAAAAUGCGGUGUGUUUUAUGGUGUGUGGUUUAUAUAUGUUUUUCUCCACAGCAGAGACGCGAUGUGCAGCAAUGCGUUCCAGCUGUGCGCACUGUGUUUGAAACGGUCGCCGGUGUGUCAUGCGCGCCUGUGUGAUCAUGCAUCCCUCAUGACAGCAGGUGGAAUGUUUUGUGGUUACCCAUUUCCUGUUUGGUUUGAAAAUUUUCUUCCAGUUUCUGUGUCUUUCAUGUUAUGUGUGAAGGGGCCCUAACAUUUGCAGCUACAUUCAAGCGCACGCUGGGACGUUUUCCUCAAAGUUACGUAAACGCUGUCGGAAACACUCGGAAAUCAGAAAAGCAGUCGGAG
Long non-coding RNA from Thalassophryne amazonica, 564 nucleotides. RefSeq lists it as uncharacterized. The record is from RefSeq and is a predicted model, not a curated record. The transcript has 3 exons. NCBI's taxonomy places the organism in Eukaryota, Metazoa, Chordata, Actinopteri, Batrachoidiformes, Batrachoididae.